AGCAGCCGCGGUAAUUCCAGCUCCAAUAGCGUAUAUUAAAGUUGUUGCAGUUAAAAAGCUCGUAGUUGAAUUUCGGGAUCAAUAUGUUGGUCGUGCCUUGGUACGUACUGGCAUUAUUGGUUCCUACCUUCUGAAGAACCUCGAUGUCAUUAAUUUGGUGUCUUGGGGAAUCAGGACUGUUACUUUGAAAAAUUAGAGUGUUUAAAGCAGGCUCGCGCUUGAAUACAUUAGCAUGGAAUAAUGAAAUAGGACGUUUGAUUCUAUUUUGUUGGUUUCUAGGAUCGACGUAAUGAUUAAUAGGGAUAGUUGGGGGCAUUAGUAUUCAAUUGUCAGAGGUGAAAUUCUUGGAUUUAUUGAAGACUGACUACUGUCGAAAGCAUUUGCCAAGGAUGUUUUCAUUAAUCAAGAACGAAAGUUAGGGGAUCGAAGACGAUCAGAUACCGUCGUAGUCUUAACCAUAAACUAUGCCGACUAGGGAUCGGAUGAUUAGUUUUAAUUUUUUAAUGUACUUACAUUCCGG
Molecule: ribosomal RNA, 520 nt
Filed under: uncultured Glomus
Lineage: Eukaryota; Fungi; Glomeromycota; Glomeromycetes; Glomerales; Glomeraceae
Description: SSU rRNA
Rfam family: Eukaryotic small subunit ribosomal RNA
Source: RNAcentral